AGCCACAGCCAUGUCACCCUGCAGCUUAAGACCAGUUACUCACCGAAGUUAAGCAGGGCUGAAGCCUGGUCAGUGCCUGGAUAGGAGACAGCAUGGGAAAACGAGGUUGCUGUUGACA
This is a ribosomal RNA of Danio rerio (zebrafish), 118 nucleotides long. The record is from Ensembl. Lineage: Eukaryota; Metazoa; Chordata; Actinopteri; Cypriniformes; Danionidae.